GACGAACGCUGGCGGCGUGCUUAACACAUGCAAGUCGAACGGAAAGGCCCUGCUUUUGUGGGGUGCUCGAGUGGCGAACGGGUGAGUAACACGUGAGUAACCUGCCCUUGACUUUGGGAUAACUUCAGGAAACUGGGGCUAAUACCGGAUAGGAGCUCCUGCUGCAUGGUGGGGGUUGGAAAGUUUCGGCGGUUGGGGAUGGACUCGCGGCUUAUCAGCUUGUUGGUGGGGUAGUGGCUUACCAAGGCUUUGACGGGUAGCCGGCCUGAGAGGGUGACCGGCCACAUUGGGACUGAGAUACGGCGCAGACUCCAACGGGAGGCAGCAGUGGGGAAUAUUGCACAAUGGGCGGAAGCCUGAUGCGACAACGCCGCGUGCGGAAUGACGGCCUUCGGGUUGUAAACAGAUUUCGCCUGUGACGAAGCGUGAGUGACGGUAAUGGGUAAAGAAGCACCGGCUAACUACGUG
RNAcentral lists this ribosomal RNA (468 nucleotides) under uncultured bacterium. RNAcentral's name for it is "partial 16S ribosomal RNA". It matches the Rfam family "Bacterial small subunit ribosomal RNA", at positions 28 to 507 of the family's 1533-position model. The record is from RNAcentral.